Molecule: unclassified non-coding RNA, 377 nt
Filed under: plant metagenome
Description: partial contains 5.8S ribosomal RNA, internal transcribed spacer 2, and large subunit ribosomal RNA
Rfam family: 5.8S ribosomal RNA (bases 1-104)
Source: RNAcentral
AAAUGCGAUAAGUAAUGUGAAUUGCAGAAUUCAGUGAAUCAUCGAAUCUUUGAACGCACCUUGCGCUCCUUGGUAUUCCUUGGAGCAUGCCUGUUUGAGUAUCAUGAAAUCUUCAAAGUAAAUCUUUUGUUAACUCAAUUGGUUUCUACUUUGGUAUUGGAGGUCUUUGCAGCUUCACACCUGCUCCUCUUUGUUCAUUAGCUGGAUCUCAGUGUUAUGCUUGGUUCCACUCGGCGUGAUAAGUUAUCUAUCGCUGAGGACACUGUAAAAGGUGGCCAAGGUAAAUGCAGAUGAACCGCUUCUAAUAGUCCAUUGACUUGGACAAUACUUUUAUGAUCUGAUCUCAAAUCAGGUAGGACUACCCGCUGAACUUAAUC